UAGAGUCUGGUGUAGAUUUGGUAGCACGAAGAAUUUUGAAUUCUUAGGGGUGGGUUCAAUUCCUACGGUUCUAG
Molecule: transfer RNA, 74 nt
Filed under: Lasiurus borealis (red bat)
Lineage: Eukaryota; Metazoa; Chordata; Mammalia; Chiroptera; Vespertilionidae
Description: tRNA-Gln
Rfam family: tRNA
About the family: Transfer RNA (tRNA) molecules are approximately 80 nucleotides in length.
Source: RNAcentral